GUGCCUGUAGCUCAGAUUGGAUAGAGCGCAGCCCUGCGGAGGCUGAAGUCGGGCGUUCGAAUCGCCCCAGGCACGC
RNAcentral lists this transfer RNA (76 nucleotides) under Microgenomates group bacterium ADurb.Bin219. RNAcentral's name for it is "tRNA-Arg". It matches the Rfam family "tRNA". Rfam says of the family: Transfer RNA (tRNA) molecules are approximately 80 nucleotides in length. Their secondary structure includes four short double-helical elements and three loops (D, anti-codon, and T loops). The record is from RNAcentral.